GACGAACGCUGGCGGCGUGCUUAACACAUGCAAGUCGAACGGAAAGGCCCUGCUUUUGUGGGGUGCUCGAGUGGCGAACGGGUGAGUAACACGUGAGUAACCUGCCCUUGACUUUGGGAUAACUUCAGGAAACUGGGGCUAAUACCGGAUAGGAGCUCCUGCUGCAUGGUGGGGGUUGGAAAGUUUCGGCGGUUGGGGAUGGACUCGCGGCUUAUCAGCUUGUUGGUGGGGUAGUGGCUUACCAAGGCUUUGACGGGUAGGCGGCCUGAGAGGGUGGCCGGCCACCUUGGGCCUGCGAUACGGCCCAGACUCCUACGGGAGGCAGCAGUGGGGAGUAUUGCACAAUGGGCGGAAGCCUGAUGCAGCAACGCCGCGUGCGGGAUGACGGCCUUCGGGUUGUAAACCGCUUUCGCCUGUGCCGAAGCGUGAGUGACGGUAAUGGGUAAAGAAGCACCGGCUAACUACGUG
RNAcentral lists this ribosomal RNA (468 nucleotides) under uncultured bacterium. RNAcentral's name for it is "partial 16S ribosomal RNA". It matches the Rfam family "Bacterial small subunit ribosomal RNA", at positions 28 to 507 of the family's 1533-position model. The record is from RNAcentral.